Non-coding RNA from Drosophila suzukii, 1708 nucleotides. NCBI's taxonomy places the organism in Eukaryota, Metazoa, Arthropoda, Insecta, Diptera, Drosophilidae. The record is from RefSeq and is a predicted model, not a curated record.
UUGCGUACGCAGAGAAAAAAACGGAACAAUACCCGUUUGAUAUUGUCUCCUCAAUUUUCACAUAUCAAUUUUUUCAUAUCAAAAUGAUUCGAAUUCAUAUCAAUAUGAUACGAAAUCAUAUCAACUUCAAAUGUUAAUAUGAAUCCGUAUCAUAAUGAUAUGAAUACUUAGCAAGUUGAUAAGAUUUCAUAUCAAACGUAACAUCGAAAAGUCUUCGAAAAAAUAGUAUGACUGUAAAUUCGUCCUUUUUGUGUAUAUUCUGUGUACAACGGUAUAAUUACGCUUUGUAUGCGGUGGUCCCACUUUUAUUUACUGCGUCAAUUUUAGUGAAAAACGUGACAAGAGAAAAGUUUAAGGUGUUUAUAAAUGUAAUUACUUGGUAAGUAUGUAUAAUUUUAACUAAAUUACUUUGUUUGUGCAUUAGUUUGUCGAAGUACCAUGGAGGAUCCACUUUUGCUUCAAUUCCUUACGGACCACGAGGUCGAUUUGGUUGUGCUUGACCUGCUUUUAGAGUGUGGAUACAACAACGAAAGGCUGCAGUACAUUUGUGCUUCAGACCUUGACCAAAUAUUUUCCAAAAGAGAACAUCUUGGUCUGAAAUCCGAGUUCCGCGAGAAGCUCCAAAAAUUGGUAGAGAGCACAACACAUUGAUGUCUGCGCAGGGGAUACGACACCAACAUGUAAAGAAAAGGUGACAUUAUUAGUUCUAACUAAUGGUUUCUAGCUUAAAUAAUUUUAACUUUAAUCAGUGUUUAUAUAAUUUAUUUUUUGUGGUUCUAUACGUUAAUCUAGAGUGCUUUGUUGAUUCUUCAGUCCUGCGAAAUUGGAAGGCAAAUAAUUUUUGACUAUCAAGAAAAGGGAAAAUUAUCGGCAGAUAACCGAGAAGAAAUCCUCUCAAUCAUAAAAGAAAGUUAUUACAAUGUUAGCUCUCAGUGUUAUAGAAUACCGAGAUAUGGAGAGAUAAAAAAACUUUCAGAAGAAAUUGUAUCAAUAUUUCCAACAGAAAACAAAGAUAUUUAUUUUUUAAGUAGAAAAGAGAAUGGGAAAUCAAACCCCAGUGGAAUUCUAUUUAAUAAAGUUCAUAAUUUAAAUAGAAAAAGAAAACUGGCUACGGGAUAUAUUAGUUCCAGCAUUGAAGCAGUUGAGCCAGAAGUAUAUUCACAAGAAGUCCUUGAAAUUGUUAGUACUCUUAAGUUGUACAACGGAACUGAAGAAGAUUGUAUAACUUUAUGGGAAGCUACGACGAGUUAUCGCCAAAACUUCAUCAAGCAGGGGUCAAACGAUAUUGAAGCAAUAUUUAACGAGUUUCCAAUAUAUAAGCAGUCUCUCGGACAUAUCUUUGUAAGCAAAUUAGAUGGUUUGGACGUAUGUGAUGGUUUGUGAUGUCCUAGUAAAUGUUUGUAAUGUCCCUUGGAAAUGUUUGUGAUGUUCGUAGAAAUUUUGUCAUUUUCUAUUAAUUGUAUAUAUAAGACUCUAACAUUUAACUUGAAUGUUGCAGAUCAACAUAGAUUUAAAAUCGAUUCACCAAGACAAAGCUUUUAAACUUACAUGUUUAUGGGAACAAUCCAUUGUAAAGUUUAAGGCCUACUACGAGAUAGUAGUGAAAGACAAAUACUUUAUACAGCUUCUUCGGAGUUGCACCGAAUCGUUGAAUGACAGUAAGUAAACUAAAAGUUAAAAUAUUGCAUAAAAAGCUAGUAUUUCGUAU